GCUUGCCAAACUCCCUACAGAAGGUUUCAGAAGCCUUGUUUCACUAAAGAGCCUACACAUUUACAACUGCCCCAAACUUGGGACUCGGGAAGAUGAUAGAGCCCUGCUUCCCAGCUCACUUGAAGAUCUUAGGAUAAGUUCAUGCUCCAAACUGGUUAAAAAGCUACUUGAAGAGCUUAAGCACCUCUCAUAUCUUCAACAUCUGAGGAUCAAAGAUUGCCCUGACCUGUAUUAUUUUCCGGAGGAAGGACUUCCUAUCACACUUAAGUUUAUUGGGAUAUCUGAUUGCAUCAACCUCCAACUAUUGCCUGCCAGGAUUCAAGAACUCUCUUCACUGACAACUCUGACCAUAGUCAAUUGCCAACAAGUCCAGUACUUGCCAGAGGCAGGCCUACCCAUUGAACUGCAAGAAUUAUGCAUCAAAGAAUGUCCAUUGUUGAAAGAGCGUUGUCAAGAGAGAACCGGAGAAGACUGGCACAAGAUAGUUCACAUCCCCAGAAUAGAAAUUGAUGAGUUAAUUCUGAGGCGAUUAGGUUAACAGCAACCUGCUGCAUCAUUGCACAGCCUGCACAAAGAAAAAUGCCAUGAUGCACUAUGAUGAUACCAAGUCCAUUGCCAACAAUUACUUUUAUUUAAUCCUUCAAUCACUACAUCCAAUGAGAAAGUUGGUAUCAACCAUUGUUCCUGUCCAUACACAACAUUGUUCAAUGGACAGUAGUCAUUUAAUAUAACAUACUACUGUUCUGGUAUUGUUACAUGGUCACUUGAUCAUCUUGAUUACCACCUAGGUGGUGGGCAAGGCUCAAGGCACUCGAGUGAUGCCUGAUCGGGUCAUUAUAUGCCGAUACACAAUCAUUCAUAUUUUUGUAGGCCAAUGCACACAUUCAUGUAUGAAUGAAUUAUAUUAAAUUUAUGUGUCAAAAUCUUGAUUCCUAUGUUAGGAUCCAACAAACCUGAACCAACCAACACCAUCUAAUACAUUGUAGGAUAUGAAAUUGGUGAAAUUGUGAUAAGAUCUAGAUCUGAAUCUUAGGAUUGCGUGGGAUCGAAAAUCCUACUUUGGAUCCAAAGGAUCACAAAUAAAGAUCAAUUUUUCUGAUCAAACUUACCCUAGAUUUAGCAUGUGGCUUAUUAUCACCAUAAAAGCAGGUAAGGACGAGUUGCAAAAGAUCAUAACUCUAACAUCUCACUUGGCUCUUUACCAUCUUUAGUGCUAAUGCCCUAUUAUCAUCUCAUGUUAUGUCAUGAUUGUGCUCUCUUCAUCUCUUGCCAUUCUGUUUGCCAUCUCUAACAUCUCGCUUGGCUCUUUACCAUCUUUAUGCUAAUGCCCUGUCAUCAUCACGUUAUGUCAAGACUCUGAUCUCUUCAUCUCUUGAAGUUCUGCUUGCCAUCUCAUCUGCUACUAGGCACUAGCCAUUCCUUUCAGAAUUUUCAUCUCAGUUGCUCCUAUCUUAAAUCCUUCAUCUUAAUUAUUUUUCCUCUCAUAUUUGCCACACACAGUCCCACCUUUCAGCCAUUUAUAUUGCUCCUCACUCCUAUUUGGCUUCCCAAAUAGUCAUCCCUAAGAGACAGGUAAAUACAAAUCACAUGGCUAUCCCUAAUAGCAUACCAAGACAGGUAAAAAUUUGUAGUAGCAUGAUGUUUAAAUGAAUGCAUAUUUUACUAAAUUAGUGUAAUGGAAUAGUGUUAAUUUGAUGGAUAUUGCAUUAUGCACAUGUGUGAAGUUGUCCUCAACUGUUAAUGAUGAUGCUUGUCAUAUUAAUAUGAUAAUUUGAUAUUUUGUCUUUUUAGUGAAACACAUUGAUCAUUAUCCUGUACUUUGUGAUGUUGUCACAGUGUAUAAAACUUGGAUGCCCUCUUGUCUUCCUCACAUGGAACAGUUUUACAGAACCUGAUCUAUUCCAUCUUCCUAAACAACAAAAAAACCGGGCUUAUUGAAUUCUUAGAUUUCUUAUUUAUUAUACAUUCUCAGGUUGCCUUAUUUUAGUGUUACUGCAUCCGCUCAUGACUGAUUCUAGAUGGUGCCUAGAGAUAAUAAAUUAUUUUUGGCUCCUUGUUUUCCAGAUAUAGACUAGCAAAUUAUAUUAAAAAUGCUCAGAAAACUGGAAUAGCAAACCAAAACUUAAUUUUCUGAAAUUUCUUACAACCAAAAAAUAUCUUGUUAUAAUAAAAAACAAAAAGUUAAAGCUGAGACAAAACAUAAAACCUAGUAAAUAAAUUCAAAUUCUCAAAAUAGUAUAAUAUUAAGAAAAUAUGUUAUCGGUAGGUCUACAUUGUAGACUAGAUCUGUGAAGUACUUGAGCUACAUACUCUGAUACAUAUAAGUCAUUAUUAACCAAGUUUAUAGAAUGGAGCAGAAGUCCUUAAGACCUACAGAAUUAACUUAAAUGAUUAUAACCCAUAAGCCCUUUUCCAUUUCAGUUUAAGAUAUAUGAAUAACAUCUUAGUGUAAGAACAAACUCUAGCUUCACCAACUGAAGAUUUACAUUGCACAUGGUUUUGCAGUUCCAGGUGAAUCAUUCAUCAUUUUGUCCAGCUUUCUUGUCCUCAUUUCAGGCUUUCCAAUUAUUGAAUUAUCUUCACAAAAGAAAAGCUCAAGUUCCAUGACAAUACUCGAAAGUUAGUAAUCAACUUAAGAGAGGCUAUUCAGAUUGUUUUGUGUAUCAUUAGCACAUACUAAGAACAAGAUUCAAGUAGAGAAUGUUCUUCCAGAGGGGCAGUUUAUAGGAAGGAUCGAUCAUACAUCAAUCUCUUGAUCACUUCAUGGGUUUCCAAGGGUUAUUUUAUAGACAAGAAGAAGCUAUAUUCCACCUACAAUGUGCAUCUCUUUGUGCUUCUAGGAGACUUAUAUCCCCAUGUAAAUUGUCAUAUCUGUGUUUGGGUUCACAUUCCUUCUUUAAGAGAGCUAAUAGGCAUGUUGUCUGCUAUGUACAGUAAAUUUAUUAGUAAGGCUACCUAUCACCUGAUAACACGAAUACAGCACAUACCACAAAGAAUGAAACCUCAACAAAGCCAAAGAAGGAUCCUGUUACCUUACCACACCCCAUCCUAAAAGCAGCUAUAGAGCACCAUACUAAACAUGCAUAAACUACAUAUCACGAAGCAUACCACAGAAACACUUGAAACUACUACAACUUUCCAUCAACAAAUUAGCCCUAAAUCGGUUCAUUAGGAGAAUGCCAGUGUCAAAAGCAACGAGAAAAAAGGAUGACACAGAGGGCGAAAGGAUCGAUUGGUUCAUAAGGAUCGUGAUCUUGAUGAUUGAAGAGGCGUAGCAGUUCGUCCUUACCAGGCUCCCUCUCAUGUGGAUCGUGGGGAACAGCAGUCCUCCAUCGUGCUCCAUGCUUUUGUCUGCGGGAUCGACGAGAACUGUGGAAAUAAACGGAGAAAGAUCAAGAAAAAGAAGGAACGUUUUGCCCGCCUCUCCCUCGGUCUGUCAUACUCCUUGAAGCCUGUCAGGUUGGGCCGAUUGAUUCGCCAAGAGACGGUGAGCCCAUCUCCAAUUUGAAAUGGGCCGAAGUCAGGUUGAUCGUUGACCUUUUCAUAUAACUGGCAUCAUGUGAAAUAUCAGAUAUGCCCC
Molecule: long non-coding RNA, 3580 nt
Filed under: Musa acuminata (dwarf banana)
Lineage: Eukaryota; Viridiplantae; Streptophyta; Magnoliopsida; Zingiberales; Musaceae
Description: long non-coding RNA (MACU_LNC006281)
Source: RNAcentral